RNAcentral lists this ribosomal RNA (468 nucleotides) under uncultured bacterium. RNAcentral describes it as "partial 16S ribosomal RNA". It matches the Rfam family "Bacterial small subunit ribosomal RNA", at positions 27 to 507 of the family's 1533-position model. The record is from RNAcentral.
GGGGGGGGGGGGGGGGGGGGGGAGGGGGGGCGGGGGGGGCGGAGGGGCCGUGCGGUUGUGGGGUGCUCGGGUGGCGGACGGGUGAGUGACACGUGAGUGGCCUGCCCUGGACUUUGGGAUACCUUCAGGCAACUGGGGCUAAUACCGGAUAGGAGCUCCUUCUGCCUGGUGGGGGUUGGAAAGUUUCGGCGGUUGGGGAUUGACUCGCGGCGUAGCAGCUUUUUGGUGGGGUCGUGCCUUACCAAGGCUUGGACGGGUAGCCGGCCUGAGAGGGUGACCGGCCACAUUGGGACUGAGAUACGGCCCAGACUCCUACGGGAGGCAGAAGUGGGGAAUAUUGCACAAUGGGCGGAAGCAUGAUGCAGCAACGCCGCGGGCGGGAUGACGGCCUUCGGGUUGUAAACCGCUUUCGCCUGUGACGAAGCGUGAGUGACGGGAAUGGGUAAAGAAGCAACGGCUAACUACGUG